GACGAACGCUGGCGGCGUGCUUAAUACAUGCAAGUCAACUUGACUUUAGAUAGCAAUAUCGAAAAGUAGGGUGGCGCACGGGUGCGUAACGCGUAGGUAAUCUGCCUGAGGUCUGACAUAACCCGUCGAAAGGCGGGCUAACAUCAGAUGAUAUAUAAUCACGACAUCGUGGAAAUAUCAAAUCUUCGGAGCCUUGGGAUGAGCCUGCGUCUGAUUAGGUAGUUGGCGGAGUAAUAGCCCACCAAGCCUACGAUCAGUAGCUGGUCUGAGAGGAUGAUCAGCCACACCGGAACUGAGACACGGUCCAGACUCCUACGGGAGGCAGCAGUAAGGAAUAUUGCUCAAUGGGGGAAACCCUGAAGCAGCAACGCCGCGUGAAGGAUGAAAUACUUUUGUAUGUAAACUUCUGUAAGAUGGGAAAAAUAUUACUCCUCGGGAGAAUUGAUUGUACCAUCAGAGUAAGCCCCGGCUAACUACGUGCCAGCAGCCG
Molecule: ribosomal RNA, 490 nt
Filed under: uncultured bacterium
Lineage: Bacteria
Description: bacterial SSU rRNA
Rfam family: Bacterial small subunit ribosomal RNA
Source: RNAcentral